UGAACAACUUUCACCACAUGUUUUAGUAUGACAGGAAAUGGUUUUUGGAACAAGAUAAGGUAGGCUUAGUUAAAUUGAAUUUGUUGACUGUCUCAUCCUCAGUUGUCAUAAUGUGAUGUAAGAAAAGGUUUUUGUGAACAACUUUCACCACAUGUUUUAGUAUGACAGGAAAUGGUUUUUGUGAACAACUUCCACCACAUGUUUUAGUAUGACAGGAAAGGUUUUUGUGAACAACUUCCACCACAUGUUUUAGUAUGACAGGAAAUGGUUUUUGGAACAAGAUAAG
Molecule: long non-coding RNA, 286 nt
Organism: Limulus polyphemus (Atlantic horseshoe crab)
Lineage: Eukaryota; Metazoa; Arthropoda; Merostomata; Xiphosura; Limulidae
Exons: 2
Source: RefSeq, a predicted model, not a curated record